RNAcentral lists this ribosomal RNA (253 nucleotides) under uncultured bacterium. RNAcentral's name for it is "partial 16S ribosomal RNA". It matches the Rfam family "Bacterial small subunit ribosomal RNA", at positions 524 to 776 of the family's 1533-position model. The record is from RNAcentral.
UACGGAGGGGGCGAGCGUUGCUCGGAAUUACUGGGCGUAAAGGGCGCGUAGGCGGCCCGCUAAGUCGGACGUGAAAUCCCCAGGCUCAACCUGGGAACUGCGUCCGAUACUGGCAGGCUUGAAUCCGGGAGAGGGAUGUGGAAUUCCAGGUGUAGCGGUGAAAUGCGUAGAUAUCUGGAGGAACACCGGUGGCGAAGGCGGCACCCUGGACCGGUAUUGACGCUGAGGCGCGAAAGCGAGGGGAGCAAACGGG